GAUGAACGCUGGCGGCGUGCCUAAUACAUGCAAGUAGAACGCUGAAGCUUGGUGCUUGCACCGAGCGGAUGAGUUGCGAACGGGUGAGUAACGCGUAGGUAACCUGCCUCUUAGCGGGGGAUAACUAUUGGAAACGAUAGCUAGUACCGCAUAAAAGUCGAUAUCGCAUGAUAUUGAUUUGAAAGGUGCAAAUGCAUCACUAAGAGAUGGACCUGCGUUGUAUUAGCUAGUUGGUGAGGUAACGGCUCACCAAGGCGACGAUACAUAGCCGACCUGAGAGGGUGGUCGGCCACACUGGGACUGAGACACGGCCCAGACUCCUACGGGAGGCAGCAGUAGGGAAUCUUCGGCAAUGGGGGCAACCCUGACCGAGCAACGCCGCGUGAGUGAAGAAGGUUUUCGGAUCGUAAAGCUCUGUUGUAAGAGAAGAACGAGUGUGAGAGUGGAAAGUUCACACUGUGACGGUAACUUACCAGAAAGGGACGGCUAACUACGUG
This 497-nucleotide ribosomal RNA is filed under the name uncultured bacterium. RNAcentral describes it as "partial 16S ribosomal RNA". It matches the Rfam family "Bacterial small subunit ribosomal RNA", at positions 28 to 507 of the family's 1533-position model. The record is from RNAcentral.